CAAUAGCGUAUAUUAAAGUUGUUGCAGUUAAAAAGCUCGUAGUUGGAUUUGUGGCGUACGGUGUGUUCCGGGCACUUGUUGUCUGAGUAACCUGCUGUUGCCAUCCUUGGGUGGAACCUGUGUGGCAUUAGGUUGUCGUGCAGGGGAUGCCCAUCAUUUACUGUGAAAAAAUUAGAGUGUUCAAAGCAGGCUUAUGCCGUUGAAUAUAUUAGCAUGGAAUAAUGGGAUAGGACUUUUUUGCUAUUUUGUUGGUUUGCGCAAAGAGGUAAUGAUUAAUAGGGACAGUUGGGGAUAUUCGUAUUCCAUUGUCAGAGGUGAAAUUCUUGGAUUUUUGGAAGACGAACUACUGCGAAAGCAUUUACCAAGGAUGUUUUCAUUAA
Molecule: ribosomal RNA, 380 nt
Filed under: uncultured eukaryote
Lineage: Eukaryota
Description: partial 18S ribosomal RNA
Rfam family: Eukaryotic small subunit ribosomal RNA
Source: RNAcentral